ACGCUCGACACCUACAGGAGGCAGCAGUGGGGAAUAUUGCACAAUGGGGGAAACCCUGAUGCAGCGACGCCGCGUGAGCGAAGAAGUAUCUCGGUAUGUAAAGCUCUAUCAGCAGGGAAGAAGAUGGCGGUACCUGACUAAGAAGCACCGGCUAAAUACGUGCUAGCAGCCGCGGUAAUCUGAGCGGGCUGGCAAGGC
Molecule: ribosomal RNA, 198 nt
Filed under: uncultured bacterium
Lineage: Bacteria
Description: partial 16S ribosomal RNA
Rfam family: Bacterial small subunit ribosomal RNA
Source: RNAcentral